RNAcentral lists this ribosomal RNA (440 nucleotides) under uncultured bacterium. RNAcentral's name for it is "partial 16S ribosomal RNA". It matches the Rfam family "Bacterial small subunit ribosomal RNA", at positions 338 to 795 of the family's 1533-position model. The record is from RNAcentral.
CCUACGGGUGGCAGCAGUAGGGAAUAUUGCUCAAUGGGGGAAACCCUGAAGCAGCAACGCCGCGUGGAGGAUGAAGGUUUUCGGAUUGUAAACUCCUUUUGUUAGAGAAGAUAAUGACGGUAUCUAACGAAUAAGCACCGGCUAACUCCGUGCAAGCAGCCGCGGUAAUACGGGGGGUGCAAGCGUUACUCGGAAGCACUGGGCGUAAAGAGGGCGUAGGCGGGAUAGCAAGUCAGAUGUGAAAUCCUAUGGCUUAACCAUAGAACUGCAUUUGAAACUGUUAUUCUAGAGUAUGGGAGAGGUAUGUGGAAUUCUUGGUGUAGGGGUAAAAUCCGUAGAGAUCAAGAAGAAUACUGAUUGCGAAGGCGACCUGCUAGAACAAAACUGACGCUGAUGCGCGAAAGCGUGGGGAGCAAACAGGAUUAGAUACCCCAGUAGUC